This 468-nucleotide ribosomal RNA is filed under the name uncultured bacterium. RNAcentral describes it as "partial 16S ribosomal RNA". It matches the Rfam family "Bacterial small subunit ribosomal RNA", at positions 28 to 507 of the family's 1533-position model. The record is from RNAcentral.
GACGAACGCUGGCGGCGUGCUUAACACAUGCAAGUCGAACGGAAAGGCCCUGCUUUUGUGGGGUGCUCGAGUGGCGAACGGGUGAAUAACACGUGAGUAACCUGCCCUUGACUUUGGGAUAACUUCAGGAAACUGGGGCUAAUACCGGAUAGGAGCUCCUGCUGCAUGGUGGGGGUUGGAAAGUUUCGGCGGUUGGGGAUGGACUCGCGGCUUAUCAGCUUGUUGGUGGGGUAGUGGCUUACCAAGGCUUUGACGGGUAGCCGGCCUGAGAGGGUGACCGGCCACAAUGGGACUGAGAUACGGCCCAGACUCCUACGGGAGGCAGCAGUGGGGAAUAUUGCACAGUGGGCGGAAGCCUGAUGCAGCAACGCCGCGUGCGGGAUGACGGCCUUCGGGUUGUAAACCGCUUUCGCCUGUGACGAAGCGUGAGUGACGGUAGUGGGUAAAGAAGCACCGGCUAACUACGUG